UAAAAAAAAAAAAAUAGAAAAAACAGAAGGAAAUAGGAGUCUCUACUAAAACCCUGAAAAGAGAUCAGUUCAUCGCGAGAGAGAUGGGGAAGAAGAAUAAGAGAAGAGACGAAGACGCCGAAUCUCCUCAGCUCAACCCUAACGAUGGAAACGGUGACGACUCUGAUAAUGCGAAGAAGCUCAAGAAGAAGAAGAAGAAGAAUAAGAAGAACGAGAAACCAAAAGAGAGGGCCACAGUGAGCAUAGCUGUGCCUGCUUCCAUCAUUGACAACGUUCCAACCCUUGACCUCGCCACUCGGCUGGCUGGUCAAAUCGCUCGUGCUGCAACUAUUUUCUGUAUCGACGAGGUUGUUGUGUUUGAUAAUAAUGGGGAGCCAAAUAGGGACCCCGUGAUGGAGAAUUCAGAUGAUGAAAGUGGUGCAGCUUUUCUCAUCCGAAUCCUGCGAUAUCUUGAGACGCCUCAGUAUCUGAGGAAGGCUUUGUUCCCUAUGCAUAACAGCCUCAGAUUUGUGGGCCUGUUGCCACCCCUUGAUCCCCCGCACCAUUUGCGCAAACAUGAGUGGGGUCCAUAUAGGGAAGGUGUCACAAUAAAUGGUAAUUCAAACUCAACGGGAACACUAGUUGAUGUUGGUUUAGCUAAGCAUGUUGUAGUUGACCAACUACUGGAACCAGGAAGAAGAGUCACGGUAGCCAUGGGUGCCGAGCGCAAUUUGGAUUCUGAUUUACCACGCCAGGUUGUGUCGUCAUCCAAGCCUAGGGAAGAAGGUGAAUAUUGGGGAUAUCAAGUGCGCUAUGCACGUAAUAUUAGCUCAGUAUUUAAGGAUUGCAUGCACAAGGGUGGCUAUGAUUAUAUAAUAGGUACCUCUGAGCAUGGUCAAAUUAUUAAGUCUCAUGAGCUUGAAAUACCUUCUUUCAGACAUUUGUUGAUUGCCUUUGGUGGAUUGGCUGGGCUGGAAGAGAGUAUUGAAGAAGAUGAUAACUUGAAGGGGAAAAAUGCAGGGGAUGCAUUUAAUGUAUACUUAAAUACAUGUCCACAUCAGGGAAGUAGGACAAUUCGAACUGAGGAAGCAAUUCUUAUCUCUCUUCAAUACUUCCAAGAACCAAUUAGUAGAGCAUUGCAGAGUUAAAUAUUGUGGCGUCUAGAAUUCAUGUAGCGCGAUCAACAGCGACAGUUGCUUCCACAUCAGUAUUUUUAUGUUUUCAGCUCAUCCUUCAGACUGUGGCUGCAAUGUUGCAAGAUAGAAUGAAUACUCAAGACACUCACUAUAAUAGCUAUACUUUCUGUUAACGUUAGUUACACAACCUGUCCUUCUAUAAAGUAAUUGAGAAUGCUAUUCAAUCAAUAACAUUGAAGAAAUGUAUGUAUAAGUAUAGCUGUGUACUGUAUUACUAUUAUCAUUUUAAGAUUUUCUUGUUUUAGAGCUUUUUAAUGAUAUUUUAAACCUU
This is an RNA transcript of Arachis ipaensis, 1446 nucleotides long. It is a transcript of the gene named methyltransferase C9orf114 protein, with no coding region annotated. The record is from RefSeq and is a predicted model, not a curated record. NCBI's taxonomy places the organism in Eukaryota, Viridiplantae, Streptophyta, Magnoliopsida, Fabales, Fabaceae.